GUUUGUUCUAUGCAUGGCAAGUAAGAUAUUUACCCCCCACAUCAAACCUGAUUAAGAAAACCUGAUAAAAGUCGGUCUACAAAUGGUUGAUGGAGUGCCAAGUUGAGAAAAUGAAUUUAUCUGGCAACCCAAUAUGAUUACAUGUGUGCAUGUGUCCACUUUUUCAUGUCCACAUGGAUUUCUGGGGUGGAUUUUCUCUAGCUAGAUGCACUUCCUGUUGCCAACCCUCAUUUGUUUCUAUGACACUUACACUUUUACAUAAUAUCAAGACAAAGAGGUACUAACACACACACACUCACAUUUAUGUACAAUGGGCUUCUUUCAGUUUCCGUCUACCAAAUCCAUGCACAAGGCUUUAGUUGGCCCAGGAUUAUAGUGGAAAACACUAGCCCAAGCCUGAUACCCUUCUUGACACUAAACCUUGAUUGUGUUUUAAGUAAAGGACCUCUUAAUUCACAAAACUUCAAUGGUAGGAAGCGAGUGGGCAGUUUAUUGGCAGGAAAACACUUCAGGAACAAGAUGAGUGUCAUGGAAGCCAAUGCAGAUGUAGACGCACACACACACACAUAAAUGAUGGGCUUCUUUUUCAGUUUAUGUCAACCAAAGCCACACAAGACUUUGGUUUGUUUUGGACUACAACACAAGACACAAGACACAUUGCAAGGUGCAAUGCAGUGAGACUUAACCCGAAGCCCCAUGGUUCAGAAGCAAACUUCUUGAUGACACAGUAAUGCCUGUGUGUGCAUACACAGCGUAUAUGUGUGUAUAUAUAUAUAUAUAUAUAUACACACACACACACACAUAUAUAUCUUUUACUUGUUUCAGUCAUUAGACUGCAGCCAUGUUGGGGCAGUCUUGGAGAAUUUUUAGUCAAAUAAAUCAAUCCCAAUACUUUA
Long non-coding RNA from Octopus bimaculoides (California two-spot octopus), 896 nucleotides. RefSeq lists it as uncharacterized. The record is from RefSeq and is a predicted model, not a curated record. Lineage: Eukaryota; Metazoa; Mollusca; Cephalopoda; Octopoda; Octopodidae.